GACGAACGCUGGCGGCGUGCUUAACACAUGCAAGUCGAACGGAAAGGCCCUGCUUUUGUGGGGUGCUCGAGUGGCGAACGGGUGAGUAACACGUGAGUAACCUGCCCUUGACUUUGGGAUAACUUCAGGAAACUGGGGCUAAUACCGGAUAGGAGCUCCUGCUGCAUGGUGGGGGUUGGAAAGUUUCGGCGGUUGGGGAUGGACUCGCGGCUUAUCAGCGUGUUGGUGGGGUAGUGGCCUACCAAGGCUUUGACGGGUAGCCGGCCUGAGAGGGUGACCGGCCACAUUGGGACUGAGAUACGGCCCAGACUCCUACGGGAGGCAGCAGUGGGGAAUAUUGCACAAUGGGCGGAAGCCUGAUGCAGCAACGCCGCGUGCGGGAUGACGGCCUUCGGGUUGUAAACCGCUUUCGCCUGUGACGAAGCGUGAGUGACGGUAAUGGGUAAAGAAGCACCGGCUAACUACGUG
Molecule: ribosomal RNA, 468 nt
Filed under: uncultured bacterium
Lineage: Bacteria
Description: partial 16S ribosomal RNA
Rfam family: Bacterial small subunit ribosomal RNA
Source: RNAcentral